GGGAAAGCCUUUGUGAAUGAGCUCAUUGAAGUGGAGAGAUGAAAAUGAGGGCACUCUGAAACUGACAGGGCAUUCAAAGGAUUCCUGAGGGGCAUUCCUGUGCCCAGAAAACAAGGCGGGGGAUAUCUUCCCAAACUCCUUGCAUGACAAGAAAUCUGCACAGAAGAUAGGAAGACCGGGUCACCCUGGGCCCCCUCAGCGACGUGGUUGCUUUAUGUUCUGUUGAGAAACCAUGGAGCCACUAUGCGAAGAAAGCCUGUUCUUUUUACUGGUGCCAAGAAAAAGAUUAGGAUUUGGGGCACAUAUGAAGAACAUGCAAGAUUGUUGCAUAGGUGCACACAUGGCAGUGUGAUUUGCUGCCUUCCUCCCCAUCACCUGUAUCUGGCAUUUCUCCCCAUGCUAUCUCUCCCCAACUCCCCACCCCCACUGUCCCUCCCCUAUUUCCCCCUGACAGACCCCAGUGUGUGAUGCUCCCCUCCCUGUGUCCAUGUGUUCUCAUUAUUCAACACCCACCUACGAGUGAGAACAUGUGGGGUUUGACUUUCUGUUCUUGUGUCAGUUUGCUGAGAAUGAUGGUUUCCAGGUUCAUCCAUGUCCCUACAAAGGACAUGAACUCAACGUUUUUGAUGGCUGCAUAAUAUGUCAUGGUGUAUAUGUGCCACAUUUUCCCUGUCC
This 675-nucleotide long non-coding RNA is filed under the name Callithrix jacchus (white-tufted-ear marmoset). RNAcentral describes it as "lncRNA (ENSCJAG00000086419.1)". Lineage: Eukaryota; Metazoa; Chordata; Mammalia; Primates; Cebidae. The record is from RNAcentral.